UAGCCUCCUCCGCAGGCAUCUCACUGAGGAAUCGGGUGGUGAGAAAAAGUUUGGUGAGAUGCCUGCCAUAAAUUGACACAAAAAUUUGCACUGCGCAUACCGGCUCGCGCAUGCAAAUUCCGACAAACUCAAACUUAGGGGGAGUAGGAAGGGCUUGCGGCAAGGAGUGAAGAAAUUUUUGUUUUCAACACGAUGGCUUAAAAGACGAGUAAAAC
This is a non-coding RNA of Paramuricea clavata, 215 nucleotides long. The record is from the annotation of a GenBank genome assembly. NCBI's taxonomy places the organism in Eukaryota, Metazoa, Cnidaria, Anthozoa, Malacalcyonacea, Plexauridae.